AGAGGAGCUGGACCCGAGUGAGGAAGGGCCAGAGUGGUAGGACAGGACUUUAGAGGUAGUGUCGGAAGAGGACAGGUCACCGAGGGUGGAGUAGGUCAAGGCUGGGACUGUGGACUGUAUUCUGAGUGUGAUGGCAGCGCUGGGGGUGGACAUUGGAACUGGGGAAUGAUGCAGGCUUAUUUAUGUUUCAGAAGUAUCUGGCUGCUGUACGCAGGGCAAGAAUGGAAACGGAAAACUGUUGGGUGGCUCUUGCUGUACUUCUGCUGAGAUGAUGGCAGCUGGCUGGUGGUGGUGGUGACCCCCUCUUAGCAAAGAGCCUAACAUACAAGAGCCUAUCGAGAGGAACACUUGGCAGAUUUGAGUGGUGAAGAAACCUCUUCUGCUUGUUGGCCUGGCCGUUUGGCUUCCUGCCCUGGUUGAGGAGGAAGAAUUUGAUGGAAAAGACCCAGCCCCAAAAGGCUUCCUAAUCCUCUUCCUGCCUUCUGUUCACCACCAUCACCAAGACAUUAUUCUCCCGGGACUGUUCGUUUCCCAGCGGUUGUGUGUAAUAGGAGCACUAUUUAAGCAGAAUUCACCAUCGCCCAGGCUUCCUUUGGUUCAGAUCUGGAAUUGUGGCCCUGGACCAGCAUUAUUAUUAUCACCUGUGAAGCGUGUGCAAGACUGAGAACAGCUGUGAAUAAUUUCAUUAUCAAGGCUCCCGUCUCAGAGGCCAGAGCUAACGCUGCAGGAAAACCGUGAUACUAAGAUCUCCCUGCUCUCCGAGGUCACUUCCAGAAGAGGCCACCAGCUGCUGAAAAGCCAGAGUGGGAUAACAAAAUCUGCGUCUUGCUGCUUUAGAGCCAUUAAACUCUUAAGGAAAGAGCUUCAUUUUGUGGUCGAAGCAACAAGGCCUAGGGACGGCCUGCCUAAAGGCACAUAGAGAAUAGAAUACCUUACAACUCUCAACCAGGAAGGGCCUGAUGGUCCAGGACAGCACCGGGCUUCGCUCAAAGUGAGUGCUCACUAAUUAUUUGUCAAUUGAUUGGAGGUUGUCAGGCGCAUCCUGCAAGACAACUCAUUUCUCCCUGGAAGGAGGAGCUCCUGGAGUCUGUUGGUUAACAGGAAAAGUGCUUACUCUAGGAGGAAGGCGGCAAAGCUGGAAGAAGCUCUCGCUGGGAGCCCGCAUACUCUCUCACGGGUGUUUCUGAACCCCAUUCUUUGCACGGAGAAGUGUGGGGGUGCAAGGGUACUUGGAACCUGCCCCUUUGGCGGAGACAUGUAGCCACCUCCAGCCGCUGCUCGGGGCUGAUCCUGCGGAGUGGAGCGCCCCC
Molecule: long non-coding RNA, 1310 nt
Organism: Pteropus alecto (black flying fox)
Lineage: Eukaryota; Metazoa; Chordata; Mammalia; Chiroptera; Pteropodidae
Exons: 6
Source: RefSeq, a predicted model, not a curated record